RNAcentral lists this ribosomal RNA (272 nucleotides) under uncultured bacterium. Its description in RNAcentral is "partial 16S ribosomal RNA". It matches the Rfam family "Bacterial small subunit ribosomal RNA", at positions 69 to 339 of the family's 1533-position model. The record is from RNAcentral.
UUCUUCGGAAGGAAUUUUGGGAAGGAAAGCGGCGGACGGGUGAGUAACGCGUGAGUAACCUGCCUAUCAGAGGGGGACAACAUUUCGAAAGGAAUGCUAAUACCGCAUGAAAUUGUUUUAUCGCAUGAUAGAAUAAUCAAAGAUUUGUCGCUGAUAGAUGGACUCGCGUCUGAUUAGAUAGUUGGUGGGGUAAAGGCCUACCAAGUCGACGAUCAGUAGCCGAACUGAGAGGUUGAUCGGCCACAUUGGGACUGAGACACGGCCCAUACUCC